GCCGGGGUGGCGGAACUGGUAGACGCACCAGACUCAAAAUCUGGCGAGGGCAACCUCGUAUCGGUUCGAUUCCGAUCCUCGGUA
Molecule: transfer RNA, 84 nt
Filed under: Pseudomonadota bacterium
Lineage: Bacteria; Pseudomonadati; Pseudomonadota
Description: Proteobacteria bacterium (gut metagenome) tRNA-Leu
Rfam family: tRNA
About the family: Transfer RNA (tRNA) molecules are approximately 80 nucleotides in length. Their secondary structure includes four short double-helical elements and three loops (D, anti-codon, and T loops).
Source: RNAcentral